Molecule: small RNA, 643 nt
Filed under: Pongo abelii (Sumatran orangutan)
Lineage: Eukaryota; Metazoa; Chordata; Mammalia; Primates; Hominidae
Description: retained intron
Source: RNAcentral
GAGGGAAGAGACAUCGUGCCAGUGAAAGAAAACUUCAACCCAAUCACCGGGAUUUUGGUCAUUGGAAAUCUGACAAAUUUUGAACAAGGUUAUUACCAGUGUACUGCCAUCAACAGACUUGGCAAUAGUUCCUGCGAAAUCGAUCUCACUUCUUCACGUGAGUUGACCAUACAACUUUAACAGUUUCUCCUUAAAUCAAGUAGUCUGGGCCUGUCAGCCAAAUAAAUUAGUUAGGAUCCCCGGUUAGUGCUUCCUGCUUCUCUGGAGAUUUGUGUGCUUUAUAUACAGGCUGAUAUAAUGAAUGACCAUCCUAAUAUCUAAUGCUCACAUAAUAAUAUAUGCCAUAUGCUGCCCUAAAUCCUUUACAAAAAGCAAUUUGUUUAAGCUUCACAAAAUCACUAGAAGGUAAGUAUUACUAUUCAAUAAUAAAAAAGAAGCCUUUCUGAUAACAGCAGGCUGAAUUUCUCUUUUUGAUGCUGUUGGUAAAUCCAGGUGACACUGUAGCUCUGACAAACAUAUACCUUGCAAAGAUCUGCCACUAAUAAUAAUAGUAUUAUAAUAAUAACACUUGUACCCACAAUCACGGUAGCUACUAUUUGUGGAGCACGAAUUAUGCUGAGUAUUAUCUCACUCUUUCCUCCCA